This 490-nucleotide ribosomal RNA is filed under the name uncultured bacterium. Its description in RNAcentral is "partial 16S ribosomal RNA". It matches the Rfam family "Bacterial small subunit ribosomal RNA", at positions 30 to 507 of the family's 1533-position model. The record is from RNAcentral.
AUUGAACGCUGGCGGCAGGCCUAACACAUGCAAGUCGAACGGUAACAGGAAGAAGCUUGCUUCUUUGCUGACGAGUGGCGGACGGGUGAGUAAUGUCUGGGAAACUGCCUGAUGGAGGGGGAUAACUACUGGAAACGGUAGCUAAUACCGCAUAACGUCGCAAGACCAAAGAGGGGGACCUUCGGGCCUCUUGCCAUCGGAUGUGCCCAGAUGGGAUUAGCUAGUAGGUGGGGUAACGGCUCACCUAGGCGACGAUCCCUAGCUGGUCUGAGAGGAUGACCAGCCACACUGGAACUGAGACACGGUCCAGACUCCUACGGGAGGCAGCAGUGGGGAAUAUUGCACGAUGGGCGCAAGCCUGAUGCAGCCAUGCCGCGUGUAUGAAGAAGGCCUUCGGGUUGUAAAGUACUUUCAGCGGGGAGGAAGGGAGUAAAGUUAAUACCUUGGCUCAUUGACGUUACCCGCAGAAGAAGCACCGGCUAACUCCGUG